CUGGCUCAGGAUGAACGCUGGCGGCGUGCCUAAUACAUGCAAGUCGAACGAGAUAGAUGAGAGCUUGCUCUUGAAGUCUAGUGGCGAACGGGUGAGUAACACGUAGGUAACCUGCCUUCAGUUGGGAUACCCAGGGGAAACUUUGGCUAAUACCAAAUUAUUACAUUCAAGGCAUCUUGAGUGUCUAAAAGGGGCCUUUAAAGCCUCGCUGAUCGAUGGACCUGCGGCGCAUUAGUUAGUUGGUGAGAUAACAGCCCACCAAGACGAGGAUGCGUAGCCGACCUGAGAGGGUGAACGGCCACACUGGAACUGAGACACGGUCCAGACUCCUACGGGAGGCAGCAGUAGGGAGUUUUCGGCAAUGGGGGAAACCCUGACCGAGCAACGCCGCGUGAACGAUGAAGGUCCUUCGGAUUGUAAAGUUCUGUUGUGAGGGAAAAAUGAUACCAUGAGGAAAUGCUUGGUGUUUGAUGGUACCUCAUUAGAAAGCCACGGCUAACUACGUGCCAGCCGCAGC
This 517-nucleotide ribosomal RNA is filed under the name uncultured bacterium. RNAcentral describes it as "bacterial SSU rRNA". It matches the Rfam family "Bacterial small subunit ribosomal RNA", at positions 19 to 518 of the family's 1533-position model. The record is from RNAcentral.